UUAAGUGACUAAGCGUAUACGGUGGAUGCCUUGGCAGUUAGAGGCGAUGAAGGACGUGUAAGUCUGCGAAAAGCUGUGGUGAGCCGACAAAAUGCAUUUGAACCACAGAUGUCCGAAUGGGGAAACCCACCUAUUUAUAGGUAUCGUUACAUGAAUAUAUAGUGUAACGAGGCGAACGAGGGGAACUGAAACAUCUAAGUACCCUUAGGAAAAGAAAUCAACCGAGAUUCCCCUAGUAGCGGCGAGCGAACGGGGAUUAGCCCUUAAGCAAUUAUGAACGUAGUGGAAGCCUCUGGGAAGUGGCGCGAUACAAGGUGAUAGCCCUGUACACGAAGUGUUUGUUUUUGUGAAAUCGAGUAGGUCGGGACACGUGUUAUCUUGACUGAAUAUGGGGGGACCAUCCUCCAAGGCUAAAUACUCCUAACUGACCGAUAGUGAACCAGUACCGUGAGGGAAAGGCGAAAAGAACCCCUGUGAGGGGAGUGAAAUAGAACCUGAAACCGUAUACGUACAAGCAGUGGGAGCCCCAUCACUAAGUGCCUUUAGUGAUGUGACUCACAAAGUGCAACCGUUUGAUAAGCGCGUAACGUUGACCUGCGAAGCAGCCAACGGUAAACCGCCAAAAAUCAAGCAGGGUGCUUAGUGAUGGGGUGACUGCGUACCUUUUGUAUAAUGGGUCAGCGACUUAUAUUUAGUAGCAAGGUUAAGCGAAUAGCGGAGCCGUAGCGAAAGCGAGUGUUAACUGCGCGUUUAGUUGCUAGGUAUAGACCCGAAACCCGGUGAUCUAGCCAUGGGCAGGUUGAAGGUUGAGUAACAUCAACUGGAGGACCGAACCCACUAAUGUUGAAAAAUUAGGGGAUGACCUGUGGUUAGGAGUGAAAGGCUAAUCAAGCCCGGAGAUAGCUGGUUCUCCUCGAAAUCUAUUUAGGUAGAGCCUCUCGUAUUACCAUCGGGGGUAGAGCACUGUUUGGGCUAGGGGGUCAUCUAGACUUACCAACCCCAUGCAAACUCCGAAUACCGAUGAGUACAGCGAGGGAGACACACGGCGGGUGCUAACGUCCGUCGUGGAAAGGGAAACAACCCAGACCGCCAGCUAAGGUCCCUAAAUUACAGUUAAGUGGGAAACGAUGUGGGAAGGCCCAGACAGCCAGGAGGUUGGCUUAGAAGCAGCCAUCCUUUAAAGAAAGCGUAAUAGCUCACUGGUCGAGUCGGUCUGCGCGGAAGAUGUAACGGGGCUAAACUAUGCACCGAAGCUGCGGAUUCAUACUUUGUAUGAGUGGUAGGGGAGCGUUCUGUAAGCGGUUGAAGGUGUACCGGGAGGUAUGCUGGACGUAUCAGAAGUGCGAAUGCUGACAUGAGUAACGAUAAUGGGAGUGAAAAACUCCCACGCCGGAAGACCAAGGUUUCCUGUCCCAUGCUAAUCAGGGCAGGGUAAGUCGGCCCCUAAGGCGAGGCAGAAAUGCGUAGUCGAUGGGAAACGGAUUAAUAUUUCCGUACUUAUAUAAUCAGUGAUGGAGGGACGGAGAAGGCUAAGCAAGCUUGGCGUUGGUUGUCCAAGUGAAAGCAAGUAGGCCGAGUGUUUAGGUAAAUCCGGACACUUAAAGCUGAGAUGCGAGACGAGCCACUACGGUGGUGAAGUUGUUGAUGCCCUGCUUCCAGGAAAAGCUUCUAAACUUAUGAUUAUAUGAACCGUACCCCAAACCGACACAGGUGGUCAGGUAGAGAAUACUAAGGCGCUUGAGAGAACUCGGGUGAAGGAACUCGGCAAAAUUGUACCGUAACUUCGGGAGAAGGUACGCCCUUGUUUGUGAUAGGACUUGCUCCUUGAGCAGAUGAGGGCCGCAGUGACCAGGUGGCUGGGACUGUUUAUUAAAAACACAGCACUCUGCUAACUCGCAAGAGGACGUAUAGGGUGUGACACCUGCCCGGUGCCGGAAGGUUAAUUGAUGGGGUUAUCUUCGGAGAAGCUCUUGAUCGAAGCCCCGGUAAACGGCGGCCGUAACUAUAACGGUCCUAAGGUAGCGAAAUUCCUUGUCGGGU
RNAcentral lists this ribosomal RNA (2040 nucleotides) under seawater metagenome. RNAcentral's name for it is "bacterial LSU rRNA". It matches the Rfam family "Bacterial large subunit ribosomal RNA", at positions 1 to 1977 of the family's 2925-position model. The record is from RNAcentral.